GGGAGAUGAAGGGAGCUUGCUCCUGGAUUCAGCGGCGGACGGGUGAGUAAUGCCUAGGAAUCUGCCUGGUAGUGGGGGAUAACGUCCGGAAACGGGCGCUAAUACCGCAUACGUCCUGAGGGAGAAAGUGGGGGAUCUUCGGACCUCACGCUAUCAAAUGAGCCUAGGUCGGAUUAGCUAGUUGGUGGGGUAAAGGCCUACCAAGGCGACGAUCCGUAACUGGUCUGAGAGGAUGAUCAGUCACACUGGAACUGAGACACGGUCCAGACUCCUACGGGAGGCAGCAGUGGGGAAUAUUGGACAAUGGGCGAAAGCCUGAUCCAGCCAUGCCGCGUGUGUGAAGAAGGUCUUCGGAUUGUAAAGCACUUUAAGUUGGGAGGAAGGGCAGUAAGUUAAUACCUUGCUGUUUUGACGUUACCAACAGAAUAAGCACCGGCUAACUUCGUGCCAGCAGCCGCGGUAAUACGAAGGGUGCAAGCGUUAAUCGGAAUUACUGGGCGUAAAGCGCGCGUAGGUGGUUCAGCAAGUUGGAUGUGAAAUCCCCGGGCUCAACCUGGGAACUGCAUCCAAAACUACUGAGCUAGAGUACGGUAGAGGGUGGUGGAAUUUCCUGUGUAGCGGYGAAAUGCGUAGAUAUAKGAAGGAACACCAGUGGCGAAGGCGACCACCUGCACUGAUACUGACACUGAUGUGCGAAAGCGUGGGGAGCAAACAGGAUUAGAUACCCUGGUAGUCCACGCCGUACACGAUGUCUACUACCCAUUGGGAUCCUUAAAAUCUAAUUCGCCCCCCUACCCCAUAACUCAAC
RNAcentral lists this ribosomal RNA (808 nucleotides) under Pseudomonas aeruginosa. RNAcentral describes it as "bacterial SSU rRNA". It matches the Rfam family "Bacterial small subunit ribosomal RNA", at positions 64 to 873 of the family's 1533-position model. Lineage: Bacteria; Pseudomonadati; Pseudomonadota; Gammaproteobacteria; Pseudomonadales; Pseudomonadaceae. The record is from RNAcentral.